CGUCAAGCCGGAAGUGGACGGAGAAAAAGCUAUUUUACUAAGCAUAAGCGCCACGUUGUUUUAAUCUACGUUGAUGUCAGAAUGUUCCAUAACAGCUGGCUGGCUCCGCUGACUGUUGGAUCUUCAUAUUGAUGCAGAGCAGUUCAGAGGUUUGGUGAGAGAGCUGAUGUUCCUCCAACUGAAAGACGAAGACCAAAGAAAGCUCUUCUUUAGCAUCCACAUCACCACAUAACACUAAUAGCAACUCUAUGCAUAUGACUUUGGAGCCCUCUAGAUGUGGAAUUCACUGUCGUAAAUAAUGAGCAGACGUACCUUCAUGUGUGAGUGUGGGAAAUAAAAUAUAAGUUAUCAGCGGGCAGAGUAUCAUCAAUAUCGUUUUGAAACUGAUAUUUCAUGGCAACAAAAAAAAAACGUCUUAAGAACAUUAGUAGUAAUCUAUUUAAAAAAAAUAUUGAACUGCUGCCCCCUGCUGGUGAGUCAUUCAAACACGCUCAAACAUCCAACUACAAACUUCAGAUCAGUGUCUACAUAAAAAAAGGCAACUUGAAUUUGUGGUAUAGAUUUAAACAACAGUACUUUAAUCCCCUUCAAAAGUCUCAAUGUAAUACAUACUGUGCAAAGUUUUAAUCUGCAGGUAGUAUAACUGUAAUCAGAUGAAUCUGCAUACAACUGGUUAAAAGGAGUAUGGUACAAAACUCCUUUACAUACACGCUACAUACAGCAUUUUGGAGAUGACCCCUUCUACUCAUUAAAACAAAUAAUACAUUUAACAUUUCUAUGUAAUCUAGUGCAAAAUAAUCUGUUUUUGUUACUUUUUGGCUCCUAAAACUGAAUUGUUUUCCAAGUCUUCAAAAAUUAUUUACUCACCAUCAAUAUAAUUUUUGGUUCAAUAAUUUUAUUCAUAAUUAAACUAAUUUAAAUAUGAAUAAUUUUUUGUCUGAUUCUCAUACAAAGCAAUUAUAUGAGUUAUACUUUUUUUUACUAUAAAAAAAAAGGGAUUUAAAUGACAUGACGGUGAAUAAAUGGCAGGAUUUGGGGAGAACUAUUCCUUUAACAUCUGCAAAUUACAACAGAACAUCUGCUCAACACACAAACACACAGAGCGCUCAUUCCUCAAAUAAACAAAACAUGAAUUUUAAAACAUAAACUUUUGUUUUGUCUGGCAUAUCUUGAAGUAAAAUAACCCAAAAAUAACAUUUCACUUGAUGACAUAACAUAUUUAGUUUUCAAAAAUAUGGUGAAAUCAGCUCAUGGCUUUAACUUCAUACAAUUUUGUGAUAAUAUAUAAGUAACUAAAAACAUAACAUAUGCAAAGGACUGAGCACCAGUUAGUCAUUCAUUCAAUUGCUCAAUCUUCUAGUGGCAAAGAGAGGAACUGCAUAUUAAUAAUACAUUAAUGGUAACAUUCGGAACAAAAUACUAGUCACACUACUAAAGUAUUUACUAUAUAAAAG
Molecule: long non-coding RNA, 1454 nt
Organism: Carassius auratus (goldfish)
Lineage: Eukaryota; Metazoa; Chordata; Actinopteri; Cypriniformes; Cyprinidae
Exons: 3
Source: RefSeq, a predicted model, not a curated record